GAGUCUUAAUAGGGCGUUUAGUUGCUGGGUAUAGACCCGAAACCAGGCGAUCUAUCCAUGAGCAGGUUGAAGGUUGGGUAACACUAACUGGAGGACCGAACCCACUGUCGUUGAAAAGCCAGGGGAUGACUUGUGGAUAGGGGUGAAAGGCUAAUCAAGCCUGGUGAUAGCUGGUUCUCCCCGAAAGCUAUUUAGGUAGCGCCUCGGACGAAUACCAUAGGGGGUAGAGCACUGUUUCGGCUAGGGGGUCAUCCCGACUUACCAAACCGAUGCAAACUCCGAAUACCUAUGAGUACUAUCCGGGAGACAGACUGCGGGUGCUAACGUCCGUAGUCAAGAGGAAAACAAUCCAGACCGCCAGCUAAGGCCCCAAAAUCAUAGUUAAGUGGGAAACGAUGUGGGAAGGCAUAGACAGCUAGGAGGUUGGCUUAGAAGCAGCCACCCUUUAAAGAAAGCGUAAUAGCUCACUAGUCGAGUCGGCCUGCGCGGAAGAUGUAACGGGGCUAAAACUAUGUGCCGAAGCUGCGGAUUUGACAUUAGUCAAGUGGUAGGGGAGCGUUCUGUAAGCCGAUGAAGGUGUAUUGAGAAGUAUGCUGGAGGUAUCAGAAGUGCGAAUGCUGACGUGAGUAACGACAAAACGGGUGAAAAACCCGUUCGCCGAAAGACCAAGGGUUCCAGUCCAACGUUAAUCGGGGCUGGGUGAGUCGACCCCUAAGGCGAGGCCGAAAGGCGUAGUCGAUGGGAAAUUGGUUAAUAUUCCAAUACUUCUGUGUAAUGCGAUGAGAGGACGGAGAAGGUUAAGUCAGCCUGGCGUUGGUUGUCCAGGUGGAAGGAUGUAGGUAUGUAUCUUAGGCAAAUCCGGGGUACUCUAUACUGAGAUCCGAUAGCAAGCUGUACUUGUACAGUGAAGUGGCUGAUACCAUGCUUCCAGGAAAAGUCUCUAAGCUUCAGUUACACAGGAAUCGUACCCGAAACCGACACAGGUGGUCAGGUCGAGUAGACCAAGGCGCUUGAGAGAACUCUGCUGAAGGAACUAGGCAAAAUGGUACCGUAACUUCGGGAGAAGGUACGCUGUUGUUGGUGAUGGAACUUGCUUCCUGAGCUGACGACAGCCGCAGAAACCAGGCCGCUGCAACUGUUUAUUAAAAACAUAGCACUCUGCAAACACGAAAGUGGACGUAUAGGGUGUGAUGCCUGCCCGGUGCUGGAAGGUUAAUUGAUGGGGUUAGCGUAAGCGAAGCUCUUGAUCGAAGCCCCAGUAAACGGCGGCCGUAACUAUAACGGUCCUAAGGUAGCGAAAUUCCUUGUCGGGUAAGUUCCGACCUGCACGAAUGGCAUAAUGAUGGCGGCGCUGUCUCCAGCAGAGGCUCAGUGAAAUCGAAAUCGCUGUGAAGAUGCAGUGUACCCGCGGCUAGACGGAAAGACCCCGUGAACCUUUACUGCAGCUUGACACUGAACUUUGACCUUACUUGUGUAGGAUAGGUGGGAGGCUUUGAAGUUGGAACGCUAGUUCCAAUGGAGCCGUCCUUGAAAUACCACCCUGGUAAUGUUGAGGUUCUAACUCUGUCCCGUUAUCCGGGACGAGGACCGUGUCUGGUGGGUAGUUUGACUGGGGCGGUCUCCUCCUAAAGAGUAACGGAGGAGUACGAAGGUGCGCUCAGCGUGGUCGGAAAUCACGCGUAGAGUAUAAAGGCAAAAGCGCGCUUAACUGCGAGACCCACAAGUCGAGCAGGUACGAAAGUAGGUCUUAGUGAUCCGGUGGUUCUGUAUGGAAGGGCCAUCGCUCAACGGAUAAAAGGUACUCUGGGGAUAACAGGCUGAUACCGCCCAAGAGUUCAUAUCGACGGCGGUGUUUGGCACCUCGAUGUCGGCUCAUCUCAUCCUGGGGCUGAAGCAGGUCCCAAGGGUAUGGCUGUUCGCCAUUUAAAGAGGUACGCGAGCUGGGUUUAGAACGUCGUGAGACAGUUCGGUCCCUAUCUACCGUGGGCGCUGGAAAUUUGAGAGGAUCUGCUCCUAGUACGAGAGGACCAGAGUGGACGAACCUCUGGUGUACCGGUUGUGACGCCAGUCGCAUCGCCGGGUAGCUAUGUUCGGAAGGGAUAACCGCUGAAAGCAUCUAAGCGGGAAGCCUACCUCAAGAUAAGAUUUCCCUAGGAAUUUAUUCCUCUAAAGAGCCGUUCGAGACUAGGACGUUGAUAGGUUGGAUGUGGAAGCAUAGUGAUAUGUGAAGCUGACCAAUACUAAUUGCUCGUGAGGCUUGACUAUACAACACCCAAGCAGUUG
This 2283-nucleotide ribosomal RNA is filed under the name Acinetobacter pittii. Its description in RNAcentral is "bacterial LSU rRNA". It matches the Rfam family "Bacterial large subunit ribosomal RNA", at positions 679 to 2925 of the family's 2925-position model. Lineage: Bacteria; Pseudomonadati; Pseudomonadota; Gammaproteobacteria; Moraxellales; Moraxellaceae. The record is from RNAcentral.